Non-coding RNA from Triticum urartu, 3333 nucleotides. NCBI's taxonomy places the organism in Eukaryota, Viridiplantae, Streptophyta, Magnoliopsida, Poales, Poaceae. The record is from RefSeq and is a predicted model, not a curated record.
ACCCCACGCCCCCACCAGCCCCAGAUUCGUUCCACAUCCACCGAUUCCUCUCCCUCUCCCUUUCCUUCCUACCACCGCCGCCACCACCUGCGACCUCCCCGCAGCCGCCACGACCGCCGCCACCGCCUGCGACCUCCCCGCAGCCGCCGCGACCCCUGGGAACCCUCUCGCUGAUGCCACGUCCUAACCUAGCGAUUGGGUGAGAAAAAGUUGCCUUCGCAUAGAAGCCAGCAAAUCCCUUUCCCGAGGCGCCCUUCUCUCGUCCUUCCCCUAUCGCACAGAGCGGCUACACGGAGAGAGACCCCCACCGCCGCUGCACACCACCAUCGUCCUCCCCUCACCUAGGCCCCAGAUCGAGCAGGCAACGCGGCGCUUGCAGACCCGCGACGGUUGGAGUUCUCGCGCCGCCGCCGGCUCCUAUCCCGUGCGUCCAGCCCUACUUCGUGCACGGGGCGAAACAGUCGCCGCUGCCGGAGCGGCCCUCGGUAGCAAGGAGGCCCAGGUAGACAUGGGGCCCGUCGCCAGUUCCCGAUCCCGCGCGCGCCAGCCCCUGCUACGCGCACGCGACGAAACGGCCACUGCUGUCGGAGUGUCCUUCGGCGGCGAGGAGGCCCAGGGAGACAGGCCGGCGGUGACGCUCGUACUCCUUCGCGCAACCACUCCGACGACGGCCAGGAUUGUUGCUGUCUCUGUUCCUUGAAAUCCCAUACAUGCCCGCGUCCAAUUUGUGCUCGUCGUCGCCUUCCUACAAUAGCUACGGAUCUGCAGCUGGCCGACCAGACCCCUGGAGGUUGGAGGAGGCCUUGGGGAAUGGGGAUGAUGAGCGGCCAGCUGUCGGCAGAACCCCACUGUCAUCUCCCAUAUCCUGCCGUUGGCAAUGUGGACCAUGGAGAACGCGAGGAAGAUUUGGUCUACCCAAUGCGGCGAUGAGGCGUCUGAUGAACGAAUAAUUGGAGGCUCUGCGGAAGAAGAACCUGGAGAACACCUCUCUUCCUUUACAUCUAAAAUUGAAUUUACAGGUGAUCGAUUCAUGAAGUUCAACUGUUUAUCAAAUUGAAUGCAAGGGUGAUUAGGAUUUUAUAGGAUUAUAUUUGCUUAUUGUCAUAAUAUUUAAACUACUGAUGAUGUUCUAGAAUGUUAUUUGGUAUUCCUUUCAGCUAUGAAGUGGUUAUUUUUAAUGUGUUUUUGACAAGGGAACCUACCACUUUGAUGAUUUGGUAUUAGAAUGAAACAGACUUGCAAUUUCAGUUUGCAUCUACACUCUGAUGCUUAUGGUUUUGAAGUACAUCUAAUGCUUAUGGUCUUGAAGUAUGUAUCACUGCACAGUUAUUAACAUAUGACUCAUACAAAACUUGAUGAAUUGCAGAGUUAUAGUUUCAUGAUUUCAUAACAUACUUAAUUCAAAAGUUUGGCCUCUAUUUGACGAGCAGGUUGUCUUAGAAAAUCGACAGCUGAAGGUGACUAUUUCAAUUCUUAUAAUCAAGAGCUACAAACUUCUUCUAGCUCCAAAACGAGGCAGGUAAUGCAACUUAUGCAAGUAAGUGAAGGAUGCCCAACAGAUUCAAAAGGGUGUGAUGACUGCUUUGAAAAAGCAUCACUUCCUAACAUAAGCGAAGAGGAGAAAAGGAAGAUCCUUCACUUUGUGAUUAUUGGUGGUGGACCCACUGGGGUUGAAUUUGGUGCAGAGCUGCAUGUUUUUCUUAUCGAAGAUAUGGUGAAGCUAUAUCCUGCAAUUGAAGAAUUUUUGAAGAUAAGAAUUAUUCAGCAAGGAGAACAUAUAUUGAAUAUGGAAAUUAAUGUACUUGAAAGUCAGCUUCCAUGCGCAGAUAAUGAGUUUGUACUGCUGGUUCACAUAUAGGAGACUAGAACAUGCAUGCUGCAGGUAGUGUGCUCCCAGCUAAUCAUCUCCUGGGAUAAUACUCAAAUAGUGUCAUAGAAAAUGAACAAUUUGAACAUUUAUUAUUAUUAGGAAAACAGUUUAGUCAUUAAAAGUGGAACAUAUAUCCUGAUCAUUGAUUUCUUACUAGGAUACAUUGAACAAAACCACCUUACCUCCAUGCUCCAAACAAUGCUAGCGUAGGAUUAAUUCUUACCAAAUAUUAUUAGUAGUUUCUGGAUUGUGGGAGAUUCCUCCCUGAUCUUCAUCCAUUUUGCUUUUCUUUUUAUGUGGAUGUUCCUGACUUCUAUGAAAUUAUCACGCUUACUGUAGACAUUGCAAUUUUAUUGGGAAUACGACAUUUUGUUGAUUUGACAAAGAAAUUUUUCCUACUGUUUCAGUAUCCAUGCCUUUCGUUGUAGCGUCAGUAGAUCUUCUCUUUUCUCCAUGUUUACUAUGAGAUGAUAUAUCUAUUUCUAUAAAGGAUAGAUGUGUUUGCUGAAACAAAGUUCCAAAGAGAUGACAUCGAGUUGAGUAUGGAUUCAGAGUGAUAAAGGUCUCUGGUGGAGGAUCAUUGGUGUCGUAUGGGAUGGACGUUCGGUCUACUGGCAUAGGUGCUCGUCCCUUGACUGGACUGGUGUGAUGGAGCCAUGGAGAUGAAGUGUUUGUCAAAUUUCUUGCAAGGGUCGCUACUUGCUUGCUGCCAUAAUAUUUAAACAAUUGUUGAUUUUCUAAAAUGUGUUUUCGGCAUUAGUAGACUCACUUUUGAUGUGUUGGUAUUAGAAUGAAACGUACUUACCAUUUCAAUUUGCAUCUACAGUCUAAUGCUUAUGGUUUUGAAGUAUACAUCGCUGCAUAGUUACUAACGUAUGGUUCAUAUAGAACUUGAUGAAUUGCAGAGUUAUAAUUUCAUGAUCUCACGAGUUACUAAAAUCAAAAGUUUGGCUUCUAUUUGAUGAGCAGGUUCUCUUAGAAGAUCAACAACUGAAGGAGAAUGUUUUAAUUCCUAUAAUCAACGGUACAAAGUGGAAGUGGCUGCGAGCACACCACCGUCCGUGCACCUGUCCUUCCUCACUCCAACAUCAGAUGACCCAUCGACCAUGGCCAUUGUCCCAUGCGUGGCCAAUAAAUUUUACACUGCUGAGGGGAGCGACCAGCUCGUGGUUGUGGUGUCUGGUUGCUCCAUCUGGGGUUUGGCGUUUUUUGAACAGGUGCACCACACCAUCCACUGCCGAUCAAUGCCUCUCUUAUUCGGAUAGGACCAUCUGUCGGUCUGGUCAGUUUCAUAUAUUAAAUUAGGCCCAAAUCGAGUGGUUUCUCGAGGUCAGAUGUGAGAAAAUCGGAUGAGAAUUGGGGGUCUGGGCAGCACCUGGGUCUGUCAUUGAGGCUUCUCUUUCUCUCGCGUGGCAGGUUGAUUUGACUCCGCACAGCGUCUGCGUCCUCACCUCGCUCAAGGU